RNAcentral lists this ribosomal RNA (287 nucleotides) under Klebsiella pneumoniae. RNAcentral describes it as "partial 16S ribosomal RNA". It matches the Rfam family "Bacterial small subunit ribosomal RNA", at positions 839 to 1125 of the family's 1533-position model. The record is from RNAcentral. Lineage: Bacteria; Pseudomonadati; Pseudomonadota; Gammaproteobacteria; Enterobacterales; Enterobacteriaceae.
GUGGCUUCCGGAGCUAACGCGUUAAAUCGACCGCCUGGGGAGUACGGCCGCAAGGUUAAAACUCAAAUGAAUUGACGGGGGCCCGCACAAGCGGUGGAGCAUGUGGUUUAAUUCGAUGCAACGCGAAGAACCUUACCUGGUCUUGACAUCCACAGAACUUUCCAGAGAUGGAUUGGUGCCUUCGGGAACUGUGAGACAGGUGCUGCAUGGCUGUCGUCAGCUCGUGUUGUGAAAUGUUGGGUUAAGUCCCGCAACGAGCGCAACCCUUAUCCUUUGUUGCCAGCGGU